CUGUAUGAAGUUGGAAUCGCUAGUAAUCGCGGAUCAGCAUGCCGCGGUGAAUACGUUCCCGGGCCUUGUACACACCGCCCGUCACACCAUGAGAGUCGGGAACACCCGAAGUCCGUAGCCUAACCGCAAGGGGGGCGCGGCCGAAGGUGGGUUCGAUAAUUGGGGUGAAGUCGUAACAAGGUAGC
Molecule: ribosomal RNA, 185 nt
Filed under: uncultured bacterium
Lineage: Bacteria
Description: partial 16S ribosomal RNA
Rfam family: Bacterial small subunit ribosomal RNA
Source: RNAcentral